This 68-nucleotide transfer RNA is filed under the name Pseudognaptodon sp. QL-2014. RNAcentral's name for it is "tRNA-Ser". Lineage: Eukaryota; Metazoa; Arthropoda; Insecta; Hymenoptera; Braconidae. The record is from RNAcentral.
AGAUAAAGAACUUGAAUAAGUUUAUAUUUUGAAAAUAUAAUAUAGAAAAAAUAAUUUUUUAUUAUCUU